AGAGUUUGAUCAUGGCUCAGGAUGAACGCUGGCGGUGUGCCUAAUACAUGCAAGUCGUGCGGUAACAGGUUCUCACUAUUUGCUUCUCUCUUAAUCAGUAAUGAUCGGGAAUUAGAGGAGUAAGUUGUGAGAAUGCUGACGAGCGGCGGACGGCUGAGUAACGCGUAGGAACGUGCCCCAAAGUGAGGGAUAAGCUCCAGAAAUGGGAGUCUAAUACCGCAUAUGGUCUUCGGAUUAAAGCUUCGGCGCUUUGGGAGCGGCCUGCGUUUGAUUAGAUAGUUGGUGAGGUAAAGGCUCACCAAGUCUACGAUCAAUAGCUGGUCUGAGAGGAUGAUCAGCCAGACUGGAACUGAGACACGGUCCAGACUCCUACGGGAGGCAGCAGUAAGGAAUCUUCCACAAUGGGGGCAACCCUGAUGGAGCAACACCGCGUGCAGGAUGAAGGCCUUAGGGUCGUAAACUGCUUUUAUUAGCGAAGAAUAUGACGGUAACUAAUGAAUAAGGGCCGGCUAACUACGUGCCAGCAGCCGCGGUCAUACGUAGGGCCCGAGCGUUAUCCGGAGUGACUGGGCGUAAAGAGUUGCGUAGGCGGUAAUUUAAGCAGAUAGUGAAAUCAUGUGGCUCAACCAUUAUGUCUAUUAUCUGAACUGAAUUACUCGAGAAUGGUAGAGGUAGCUGGAAUUUCUAGUGUAGGAGUGAAAUCCGUAGAUAUUAGAAGGAACACCAAUGGCGUAGGCAGGCUACUGGACCAUUUCUGACGCU
Molecule: ribosomal RNA, 762 nt
Filed under: uncultured bacterium
Lineage: Bacteria
Description: bacterial SSU rRNA
Rfam family: Bacterial small subunit ribosomal RNA
Source: RNAcentral